Molecule: ribosomal RNA, 1406 nt
Filed under: uncultured marine bacterium
Lineage: Bacteria
Description: bacterial SSU rRNA
Rfam family: Bacterial small subunit ribosomal RNA
Source: RNAcentral
GAGUUUGAUCCUGGCUCAGGACGAACGCUGGCGGCGUGCUUAAUACAUGCAAGUCAAGGAGAACGUUUCCUUCGGGGAAUUAUUAAACUGCGAACGGGUGAGUAACGCGUAGGUAACCUGCCCUAGAGAUUGGGAUAACACCGGGAAACCGGUGCUAAUACCGAAUAAUGCAGCGGAUCCUUCGGGAUACAGUUGUUAAAGCGGGCUUCGGCUCGCACUUUAGGAUGGGCCUGCGUCCGAUUAGCUUGUUGGUAAGGUAAUGGCUUACCAAGGCAAUGAUCGGUAGCUGGUCUGAGAGGAUGAUCAGCCACACUGGGAUUGAGAUACGGCCCAGACUCCUACGGGAGGCAGCAGUAGGGAAUUUUGCGCAAUGGGGGAAACCCUGACGCAGCAACGCCGCGUGACCGAUGAAGCUUCUAGGAGCGUAAAGGUCUGUCGUAAGGGAAGAAAAGUUUGGAUGUAAAUAAUGUUCGAACCUGACGGUACCUCCACAAGAAGCCCCGGCCAACUACGAGCCAGCAGCCGCGGUAAUACGUAGGGGGCGAGCGUUGUCCGGAUUUAUUGGGCGUAAAGAGCUCGUAGGCGGUUCAACAAGUCGGUCGUGAAAGUUCAGGGCUCAACCCUGAAAUGUCGAUCGAUACUGUUGUGACUAGGAUACGGUAGAGGUGAGUGGAAUUCCGAGUGUAGCGGUGAAAUGCGUAGAUAUUCGGAGGAACACCAAUUGCGAAGGCAGCUCACUGGGCCGCUAUCGACGCUGAGGAGCGAAAGCUAGGGGAGCAAACAGGAUUAGAUACCCUGGUAGUCCUAGCUGUAAACGAUGGAUACUAGAUGUAGGAACUGGAUUGACGGUUUCUGUAUCGCAGCUAACGCGUUAAGUAUCCCGCCUGGGGAGUACGGUCGCAAGACUAAAACUCAAAGGAAUUGACGGGACCCCGCACAAGCGGCGGAGCAUGCGGCUUAAUUCGAUGAUACCCGUAGAACCUUACCUGGACUUGACAUAUAGGGUCAAGCUAUAGAGAUAUAGUGUGCAUUAGCGCCCUAUACAGGUGGUGCAUGGCUGUCGUCAGCUCGUGUCGUGAGAUGUUGGGUUAAGUCCCGCAACGAGCGCAACCCCUGUCCUAUGUUGCCAGCAUUUAGUUGGGGACUCAUAGGAGACUGCCGGUGAUAAACCGGAGGAAGGUGGGGACGACGUCAAGUCAUCAUGCCCCUUAUGUCCAGGGCUGCACGCAUGCUACAAUGGCAAGUACAACGAGUUGCAAUACCGCGAGGUGGAGCAAAUCUCUUAAAGCUUGUCUCAGUUCGGAUAGGAGUCUGCAACUCGACUCCUUGAAGUUGGAGUCGCUAGUAAUCGCAAAUCAGCUAAGUUGCGGUGAAUACGUUCUCGGGGUUUGUACACACCGCCCGUC